ACGGGUGAGUAAUACUUAGGAAUAUGCCUUUGUGUGGGGGAUAACUAUUGGAAACGAUAGCUAAUACCGCAUAAUGUCUUCGGACCAAAGGGGGCUUCGGCUCCCGCGCAAAGAGUAGCCUAAGCGAGAUUAGCUUGUUGGUGAGGUAAAGGCUCACCAAGGCGACGAUCUCUAGCUGUUCUGAGAGGAAGAUCAGCCACACUGGAACUGAGACACGGUCCAGACUCCUACGGGAGGCAGCAGUGGGGAAUAUUGCACAAUGGGGGAAACCCUGAUGCAGCCAUGCCGCGUGUGUGAAGAAGGCCUUCGGGUUGUAAAGCACUUUCAGUUGUGAGGAAAGGUUGAUGGUUAAUACCCAUUAGCUGUGACGUUAGCAACAGAAGAAGGACCCGGCUAACUCCGUGCCAGCAGCCGCGGUAAUACGGAGGGUCCGAGCGUUAAUCGGAAUUACUGGGCGUAAAGCGCACGCAGCGGUUUGGUAAGCUAGAUGUGAAAGCCCUGGGCUCAACCUGGGAAUUGCAUUUAGAACUGGCAGGCUAGAGUUUUGGAGAGGGGAAGUGGAAUUCCAGGUGUAACCGGUGAAAUGCCUAGAUAUCUGGAGGAACAUCAAUGGCGAAAGCGACUUCCUUGUCA
Molecule: ribosomal RNA, 633 nt
Filed under: Glaciecola sp. R3-Ret-T25-15a
Lineage: Bacteria; Pseudomonadati; Pseudomonadota; Gammaproteobacteria; Alteromonadales; Alteromonadaceae
Description: bacterial SSU rRNA
Rfam family: Bacterial small subunit ribosomal RNA
Source: RNAcentral